Peromyscus maniculatus bairdii (prairie deer mouse) is the source of this 391-nucleotide non-coding RNA. Lineage: Eukaryota; Metazoa; Chordata; Mammalia; Rodentia; Cricetidae. The record is from RefSeq and is a predicted model, not a curated record.
GUUUGCUUAUAGGACUGCCUGAUUCCAUGCCCACAAGAUGGCCUGGGAUGAGGGGAAAGGAUAAUAAUGAGUGAAAGGAGAAAAAAUGACCAGAAAUGCCAUUCUUCUCUUGGGACAGGAAUAGAACCUUGAAAGGCACUUCCGAGGAGAUAUUUCAAAGAAGACACAUCUGAGUGAGCACCAACCUCUCCAUGGAUUCCUCCUGCCUUACAAAUUGCAUCAGACUGUUCUGUCCUGAAUAAUAACUGAACAACAGCAACGAUGGCUUCGUCAUAUGCUGACAGCUACCAGAAGAAAGGGACAACGUGAGUCAUGGUGACAUUGUUAAGGUCCUCCAGUGUUUCCAGUGUCAGAUGUCUCCUUUUUAGUGUGAGUGAUGAAGUCUUGGGAC